This 497-nucleotide ribosomal RNA is filed under the name uncultured bacterium. RNAcentral's name for it is "partial 16S ribosomal RNA". It matches the Rfam family "Bacterial small subunit ribosomal RNA", at positions 28 to 507 of the family's 1533-position model. The record is from RNAcentral.
GAUGAACGCUGGCGGCGUGCCUAAUACAUGCAAGUCGAGCGAACGGACGAGAAGCUUGCUUCUCUGAUGUUAGCGGCGGACGGGAGAGUAACACGUGUAUAACCUACCUAUAAGACUGGGAUAACUUCGGGAAACCGGAGCUAAUACCGGAUGAUAUUUUGAACCGCAUGGUUCAAAAGUGAAAGACGGUCUUGCUGUCACUUAUAGAUGGAUCCGCGCUGCAUGAGCUAGUUGGUAAGGUAACGGCUUACCAAGGCAACGAGGCGUAACCGACCUGAGGGGGUGAUAGGCGACAUGGGAACUGAGACACGGUCCAGACUCCUACGGGAGGCAGCAGUAGGGAAUCGUCCGCAAUGGGCGAAAGCCUGACGGAGCAACGCCGCGUGAGUGAUGAAGGUCUUCGGAUCGUAAAACUCUGUUAUUAGGGAAGAACAGAUGUGUAAGUAACUGUGCACAUCUUGACGGUACCUAAUCAGAAAGCCACGGCUAACUACGUG